This is a small nucleolar RNA of Juglans microcarpa x Juglans regia, 104 nucleotides long. RefSeq annotates it as small nucleolar RNA snoR137. Lineage: Eukaryota; Viridiplantae; Streptophyta; Magnoliopsida; Fagales; Juglandaceae. The record is from RefSeq and is a predicted model, not a curated record. The transcript has a single exon.
GUUUUUUAAUAGUUAUUGGAAAUAAAUUAUUUCUUUCUCAGUAUUAAACAGUGCAGUGUAUGCUUUUUGUUAUUGCACUGUGCUACCUGUCUCCUAGUACAUUC